RNAcentral lists this ribosomal RNA (301 nucleotides) under uncultured bacterium. Its description in RNAcentral is "partial 16S ribosomal RNA". It matches the Rfam family "Bacterial small subunit ribosomal RNA", at positions 509 to 809 of the family's 1533-position model. The record is from RNAcentral.
CAGCAGCCGCGGGAAUACGUAGGUGGCAAGCGUUGUCCGGAAUUAUUGGGCGUAAGGGGCUCGCAGGCGGUUUCUUAAGUCUGAUGUGAAAGCCCCCGGCUCAACCGGGGAGGGUCAUUGGAAACUGGGAAACUUGAGUGCAGAAGAGGAGAGUGGAAUUCCACGUGUAGCGGUGAAAUGCGUAGAGAUGUGGAGGAACACCAGUGGCGAAGGCGACUCUCUGGUCUGUAACUGACGCUGAGGAGCGAAAGCGUGGGGAGCGAACAGGAUUAGAUACCCCGGUAGUCCCUGUCUCUUAUAA